AGAGUUUGAUCCUGGCUCAGNAUAAACGCUGGCGGCGUGCCUAACACAUGCAAGUCGAACGUCCUUGCGCAAGCAAGGGAGUGGCGGACGGGUGAGGAACACGUGGGGCAUCUACCUUCGGGUGAGGAAUACCGGCGAGAAAUCGCCGACAAGACCGCAUAUGCUCUUUCGCAAGAGAGAGGAAAGCUUCUUUCGUAAGAGGGAGGCGCCAGAAGAGGACCCUGCGUCCGAUUAGUUGGUCGGUGGGGUAACGGCCUACCAAGACGACGAUCGGUAGCUGGUCUGAGAGGACGAUCAGCCACACUGGGAUUGAGAACGGCCCAGACUCCUACGGGGGGCAGCAGUGAGGAAUUUUCGUCAAUGGGGGCAACCCUGAACGAGCAACGCCGCGUGCAGGAAGACGCUUUUCGGAGUGUAAACUGCUUUUCUCGGGGAAGAGAACGGACGGUACCCGAGGAAGAAGCCUCGGCUAACUACGUGCCAGCAGCCGCGGUAAUACGUAGGAGGCGAGCGUUGUCCGGAGUUACUGGGCGUAAAGCGCACGCAGGCGGUGCACCAAGUCUGGAGUGACAGCGCUCGGCUUAACCGAGCAGGGUCUUUGGAAACUGGUGGACUUGAGGGCUUCAGAGGAAUGCGGAACUCCGGGUGGAGUGGUGAAAUGCGUAGAUAUCCGGAAGAACACCAAAGGCGAAGGCAGCAUUCUGGGAAGUACCUGACGCUCAGGUGCGAAAGCCAGGGGAGCGAACGGGAUUAGAUACCCCGGUAGUCCUGGCCGUAAACGAUGACCACUAGACGUUGGGGGUAUCGACCCCCUCAGUGUCGAAGCUAACGCGAGAAGUGGUCCGCCUGGGGAGUACGGUCGCAAGAUUAAAACUCAAAGGAAUUGACGGGGACCCGCACAAGCAGCGGAGCGUGUGGUUUAAUUCGAUGCAACGCGAAGAACCUUACCAAAGCUUGACGUGCUCUUGCACCAGCCGUAAUGGGUUGUCCUCUUCGGAGGCGGGAGCACAGGUGCUGCAUGGCUGUCGUCAGCUCGUGUCGUGAGAUGUUGGGUUCAGUCCCGCAACGAGCGCAACCCCUGUCGGAUGUUAUCGGUCAUCCGAGACCGCCGCGAUGAACGUGGAGGAAGGAGGGGAUGACGUCAAGUCAGCACGGCCCUUACGCUUUGGGCGACACACACGCUACAAUGGUCGGGACAAAGGGCAGCGAACCAGCGAUGGGGAGCUAAUCCUGUCAAACCCGGCCUCAGUUCAGAUUGGAGGCUGCAACUCGCCUCCAUGAAGUCGGAGUUGCUAGUAACCGUGGGUCAGCACACCACGGUGAAUACGUUCCCGGGUCUUGUGCACAYCGCCCGUCACACCACGAAAGUCGGCAACACCUGAAGCCGUCKGGCUAACUCGCGAGAGAGGCAG
RNAcentral lists this ribosomal RNA (1412 nucleotides) under uncultured bacterium. Its description in RNAcentral is "16S ribosomal RNA". It matches the Rfam family "Bacterial small subunit ribosomal RNA". The record is from RNAcentral.